This 680-nucleotide ribosomal RNA is filed under the name uncultured eukaryote. RNAcentral's name for it is "SSU rRNA". It matches the Rfam family "Eukaryotic small subunit ribosomal RNA", at positions 578 to 1259 of the family's 1831-position model. The record is from RNAcentral.
GGUAAUUCCAGCUCCAAUAGCGUAUACUAAAGUUGUUGCGGUUAAAAAGCUCGUAGUUGGAUCUUGGAAUGUGUUCAAGCGGGUCAGCUUCUGGCUGUGUGCUGCUUGACGUGUUCUUCUAUUUGGUUUUGGUGCGGUGCGCUUAACUGCGUGUCGCUCCCGGCCGAAACGUUUACCUUGAAAAAAUUAGAGUGUUCAAAGCAGACCUGUUUGAGUCUGAAUAUUCGUGCAUGGAAUAAUGAAAUAUGAAUUCGGUUCUAUUUUGUUGGUUUUCGGAACUCGAGUUAAUGAUCAAGAGGGACAGACGGGGGCAUUCGUACUCUGCCGUUAGAGGUGAAAUUCUUGGAUCGGCGGAAGACGCGCAACUGCGAAAGCAUUUGCCAAGAAUGUUUUCUUUAAUCAAGAACGAUAGUCGGAGGUUCGAAGACGAUCAGAUACCGUCCUAGUUUCGACUGUAAACUAUGCCAGCUAACGAUCAGACAGAGUUCUCUACGACUUGUCUGGCAGUUUCCGGGAAACCAAAGCGUUUGGGUUCCGGGGGAAGUAUGGUUGCAAAGCUGAAACUUAAAGGAAUUGACGGAAGGGCACCACCAGGAGUGGAGCCUGCGGCUUAAUUUGACUCAACACGGGGAAACUCACCCGGCCCGGACACAGUGAGGAUUGACAGAUUGAGAGUUCUU